Non-coding RNA from Anopheles merus, 182 nucleotides. NCBI's taxonomy places the organism in Eukaryota, Metazoa, Arthropoda, Insecta, Diptera, Culicidae. The record is from Rfam.
GUGCCUUAAACUAAUGAGUAAGGAAAAUUACGGGCCUUGGUGACGCUUGGCUCUGCCUACGAACUAGCGGGUGCGGCUCAAUGGGUCGUGCUCGGUAGGCUGUAUUUUUGAAGAGGCACAGGUCGUCCUCGAGCUUGUCCUGCCUACUUUGCAGGAUGCUCGAGAGUGUUGCGAUCUGCCUC